UACGAAGGCCCCAAGCGUUAUCCGGAAUUAUUGGGCGUAAAGCGUCCGCAGGCGGUCUGAAGGGUAGGAUGUUAAAUCAUAGGGCUCAACCCUGUGGCCGCAUCCUAAACCGUCAGACUAGAGGAUGGGAGAGGCACCUGGAAUUGUCGGUGUAGUAGUAAAAUGCGUUAAUAUCGACAGGAACACCAAAUGCGAAGGCAUGGUGCUGGAACAUUCCUGACGCUCAGGGACGAAAGCGUGGGGAGCGAAUCGG
Molecule: unclassified non-coding RNA, 253 nt
Filed under: uncultured bacterium
Lineage: Bacteria
Description: contains 16S-23S intergenic spacer region
Rfam family: Bacterial small subunit ribosomal RNA
Source: RNAcentral